CAGUAGCCGCGGGAAUACGUAGGUGGUAAGCGUUGUCCGGAAUUAUUGGGCGUAAAGGGCUCGCAGGCGGUUUCUUAAGUCUGAUGUGAAAGCCCCCGGCUCAACCGGGGAGGGUCAUUGGAAACUGGGAAACUUGAGUGCAGAAGAGGAGAGUGGAAUUCCACGUGUAGCGGUGAAAUGCGUAGAGAUGUGGAGGAACACCAGUGGCGAAGGCGACUCUCUGGUCUGUAACUGACGCUGAGGAGCGAAAGCGUGGGGAGCGAACAGGAUUAGAUACCCCCGUAGUCCCUGUCUCUUAUAC
RNAcentral lists this ribosomal RNA (301 nucleotides) under uncultured bacterium. RNAcentral describes it as "partial 16S ribosomal RNA". It matches the Rfam family "Bacterial small subunit ribosomal RNA", at positions 509 to 807 of the family's 1533-position model. The record is from RNAcentral.